UCAGUCGACUCCUACGGGGGAGCAGCAGUGGGGGGAAUUAUUGCACAAUGGGGCGCAAGCCUGAUGCAGCCAUGCCGCGUGUAUGAAGAAGGCCUUUCGGGUUGUAAAGUACUUUCAGCAGUGAGGAAGGCAGGUACGUUAAUAGCGUGCUUGUUUGACGUUUAGCUGCAGAAGAAGCACCGGCUAACUCCGUGCCAGCAGCCGCGGUAAUACGGAGGGUGCGAGCGUUAAUCGGAAUUACUGGGCGUAAAGCGCAUGCAGGUGGUUUGUUAAGUCAGAUGUGAAAGCCCGGGGCUCAACCUCGGAAUUGCAUUUGAAACUGGCAGACUAGAGUACUGUAGAGGGGGGUAGGAAUUUCAGGUGUAGCGGUGAAAUGCGUAGAGAUCUGAAGGAAUACCGGUGGCGAAGGCGGCCCCCUGGACAGAUACUGACACUCAGAUGCGAAAGCGUGGGGAGCAAACAGGAUUAGAUACCCUGGUAG
This 481-nucleotide ribosomal RNA is filed under the name uncultured bacterium. RNAcentral's name for it is "bacterial SSU rRNA". It matches the Rfam family "Bacterial small subunit ribosomal RNA", at positions 328 to 793 of the family's 1533-position model. The record is from RNAcentral.